CCACCGCCUUGCUGACAGUGACUUGUGUGUCCCCCAGGAACUCACGACGACGAUGUUGUGGAGGCCGGUGGGAGUGAGAAGACUGAGGCAAAGCCCCGGGCUGGGGGACAUGAGGACGAGGCGGCCCCAGUACCUGAGGUGGAGGUGGAGGAGGAGGCGGGCCAGCCCCGUGAAAAUGGCCAGGAGGAGUCCUUAGCCAUCGCCUGGGCUGAGCCGGAAGACGAGCCUGGCCCCAAGGAACUCACGACGACGAUGUUGUGGAGGCCGGUGGGAGUGAGAAGACUGAGGCAAAGCCCCGGGCUGGGGGACAUGAGGACGAGGCGGCCCCAGUACCUGAGGUGGAGGUGGAGGAGGAGGCGGGCCAGCCCCGUGAAAAUGGCCAGGAGGAGUCCUUAGCCAUCGCCUGGGCUGAGCCGGAAGACGAGCCUGGCCCCAAGGUAAGCUCACCUUUCUUGAUGUGAGGUUGGAAAAGGUGCCUCCUU
RNAcentral lists this long non-coding RNA (482 nucleotides) under Sus scrofa (pig). Its description in RNAcentral is "lncRNA (ENSSSCG00070007383.1)". Lineage: Eukaryota; Metazoa; Chordata; Mammalia; Artiodactyla; Suidae. The record is from RNAcentral.